GGGUUAAGUGACGGAGCGUCAAGUGUCUGACAGACCGUCAAUCGGACCGUCACACGCCACGUUCAUUUUAUUUCCAGGUCAUUUUAAUAGGGGUAUUUUGGUCACUUACCACUCACCUAUAUAUACCCAGAUAAGUCCGAAUUCAGCCAUUAUACUCAUUACUAUUUCACAAACAAAAACUAGGGUUUCUCUCUGAAUUUAAUCCCCAAGAACAAG
RNAcentral lists this long non-coding RNA (216 nucleotides) under Capsicum annuum. RNAcentral's name for it is "long non-coding RNA (CANN_LNC005274)". Lineage: Eukaryota; Viridiplantae; Streptophyta; Magnoliopsida; Solanales; Solanaceae. The record is from RNAcentral.